This 497-nucleotide ribosomal RNA is filed under the name uncultured bacterium. Its description in RNAcentral is "partial 16S ribosomal RNA". It matches the Rfam family "Bacterial small subunit ribosomal RNA", at positions 28 to 507 of the family's 1533-position model. The record is from RNAcentral.
GAUGAACGCUGGCGGCGUGCCUAAUACAUGCAAGUCGAGCGGACGGACGAGAAGCUUGCUUCUCUGAUGUUAGCGGCGGACGGGCGAGUAACACGUGGAGAACCUACCUAUAAGACUGGGAUAACUUCGGGAAACCGGAGCUAAUACCGGAUAAUAUUUUGAACCGCAUGGUUCAAAAGUGAAAGACGGUCUUGCUGUCACUUAUAGAUGGAUCCGCGCUGCAUUAGCUAGUUGGUAAGGUAACGGCUUACCAAGGCAACGAUGCAUAGCCGACCUGAGGGGGUGGUCGGCCACACGGGAACUGAGACACGGUCCAGACUCCUACGGGAGGCAGCAGUAGGGAAUCUUCCGCAAUGGGCGAGAGCCUGACAGAGCAACGCCGCGUGAGUGAUGAAGGUCUUCGGAUCGUAAAACUCUGUUAGUAGGGAAGAACAUAUGUGUAAGUAACUGUGCACAUCUUGACGGUACCUAAUCAGAAAGCCACGGCUAACUACGUG